Molecule: small nucleolar RNA, 122 nt
Organism: Balaenoptera musculus (blue whale)
Lineage: Eukaryota; Metazoa; Chordata; Mammalia; Artiodactyla; Balaenopteridae
Gene: SNORA70
Rfam family: Small nucleolar RNA SNORA70
About the family: snoRNA U70 seems to be exclusive to mammals and is a member of the H/ACA class of snoRNA which contain H (ANANNA) and ACA box motifs. H/ACA box snoRNAs are involved in the conversion of uridines to pseudouridines (5-ribosyluracil) a constituent of structural RNAs (transfer, ribosomal, small nuclear, and small nucleolar).
Source: Ensembl
CUGCUCAUCAAAAACAUAAUUAAGAAAACGAUGAUGUGCAAUGGCUGCGAACAGCAGUCUCCUCAGUAGUGUGUGCAACCUGUUGCUUACGUGGGUUGCCUUAAGGGACAUUGGAGACCACC